CCUACGGGUGGCUGCAGUGAGGAAUAUUGGUCAAUGGCCGGAAGGCUGAACCAGCCAAGCCGCGUGAAGGACGAAGGUGCCAAGCAUUGUAAACUUCUUUUGUCAAGGGACAAAAUCAGGCUCGAGAGCCUGACCGAGGGUACUUGAAGAAAAAGCAUCGGCAAACUCCGUGCCAGCAGCCGCGGUAAUACGGGGGAUGAGAGAGUAAUCCGGAUUUAUUGGGUUAAAAGGGUGCGUAGGCGGGCGGUUAAGUUAGCGGUAAAAGCCCGGGGCGCAACCCCGUCGAGCCGUUGAAACUGGCUGUCUUGAGAUGUCGAGAGGUAUGCGGAAUGCGCAGUGUAGCGGUGAAAUGCUUAGAGAUUGCGCAGAACACCGGUUGCGAAGGCAGCAUACCGGCGGCGAUCUGACGCUGAGGCACGAAAGCGUGGGUAGCGAACAGGAUUAGAUACCCCAGUAGUC
RNAcentral lists this ribosomal RNA (459 nucleotides) under uncultured bacterium. Its description in RNAcentral is "partial 16S ribosomal RNA". It matches the Rfam family "Bacterial small subunit ribosomal RNA", at positions 338 to 795 of the family's 1533-position model. The record is from RNAcentral.